GAGGCAGCUGUGUGCAAGUCUGCUCCAGAUUUCACUCAGUUGGACCUAGGAUAUAGAAUUUGUCAUGUUUAAUUCUAAUAUUUGUAUGCUCUUCUAUUCCCAAAUGGACUACCCUUCUGUUUAAUGGAUAUAAUUAAAGUUUCUGAGAUAAAUGCCUGCAACUUAUGCUCUAGUUUUGCUUGUAGACUGAGAGAGGAUUGAAAUUAAGUGUUUCAAUAAAAAAUUUAUUCCCUUGAAAUUUCUUUGUGGUGUGUUUUAUGUUCUUGGCUAUCUAGUGAUAUAAAAGCCAAGCUAUUAUGGAUAGUGGUUGGCGAUUUCAUGCCAAAUUGAUUUUAAUUAUGUGUCUACUGAAACAGGGAGAUGAAUUGAAGGUGAAAG
This 378-nucleotide unclassified non-coding RNA is filed under the name Hevea brasiliensis (rubber tree). Lineage: Eukaryota; Viridiplantae; Streptophyta; Magnoliopsida; Malpighiales; Euphorbiaceae. The record is from RNAcentral.